CGCAUAGUACCGUGAGGGAAAGGUGAAAAGAACCCCGGGAGGGGAGUGAAAUAGUACCUGAAACCGUAUGUCUACAAGCAGUCGAAGCGAAAGCGACGGCGUGCCUAUUGAAGAAUGAACCAACGAGUUAUCUGCACUAGCGAGGUUAAGUGGAAGACACGGAGCCGCAGCGAAAGCGAGUCUUAAGAGGGCGCUAGUUAGUGUAGGUAGACCCGAAACCGCAGUGAUCUACCCAUGUCCAGGUUGAAGCGCAGGUAAAAUUGCGUGGAGGACCGAACCGGUGAGCGUUGAAAAGCUUUCGGAUGAGAUGUGGGUAGGGGUGAAAUUCCAAUCGAACGCGGAGAUAGCUGGUUCUCCCCGAAAUAGCUUUAGGGCUAGCCUGAGGUAGUAAGUAUAGGCGGUAGAGCACUGAUCGGGCUAGGGGCCGUAAAGGUUACCGAACCCUGUCAAACUCCGAAUGGAUAUACUGUAGAGCCUUGGAGUCAGACUACGAGUGAUAAGAUCCGUGGUCAAAAGGGAAACAGCCCAGACCACCAGCUAAGGUCCCCAAUGUCGUACUAAGUGGAAAAGGAUGUGGGGUUUCAUAAACAACCAGGAUGUUGGCUCAGAAGCAGCCACCAUUUAAAGAGUGCGUAAUAGCUCACUGGUCGAGAGACCCUGCGCCGAAGAUUCCCGGGGCUAAAGUACGAAACCGAAGCUGUGGCUGUAUACGUAAAGUAUACGGGGUAGGGGAGCGUUCCCAUAGGGUAGAAGUCGAACUGGAAGGUUCGGUGGACUUGUGGGAAGUGAGAAUGUUGGUAUGAGUAGCGAAAAGAAAGGUGAGAAUCCUUUCCACCGAAAGCAUAAGGAUUCCUGAGCAACGAUCGUCGUCUCAGGGUAAGUCGGGACCUAAUCCGAGGCAGAGAGCGUAGGAGAUGGACAACUGGUUGAUAUUCCAGUACCGGUAGUAAUUGUUUGAGCAAUGGAGUGACACAGAAGGGCAGGCAAGCAUGCGAAUGGAAGAGCAUGUGUAAGCGUGUAGGGUGGUGCAUAGGCAAAUCCGUGCACUGAAAGCCUGAGGCGUGAUGCGGAGUGAGCAGAGAUGCGAGCGAAGUUGUUGACCCCACACUGUCGAGAAAAGCUUCUAGUGAGAGAGCUACCGCCCGUACCGUAAACCGACACAGGUAUGCGGGGAGAGAAUCCUAAGGUGCGCGGGAGAACCCUCGUUAAGGAACUCGGCAAAAUGUACCCGUAACUUCGGGAUAAGGGUAGCCACUGUUGUGAAGUCCCACGCGGAUGGAGCAUAGAGUGGUCGCAGAGAAGAGGCCCAAGCGACUGUUUACCAUAAACACAGGUGCCUGCUAAAGCGAAAGCUGACGUAUAGGUGCUGACACCUGCCCAGUGCCGGAAGGUUAAGGAAGGAUGUUCGGAUUAGUCCAAAGCAUUCGACUGAAGCCCCGGUGAACGGCGGCCGUAACUAUAACGGUCCUAAGGUAGCGAAAUUCCUUGUCGGGU
This 1494-nucleotide ribosomal RNA is filed under the name human gut metagenome. Its description in RNAcentral is "bacterial LSU rRNA". It matches the Rfam family "Bacterial large subunit ribosomal RNA", at positions 491 to 1977 of the family's 2925-position model. The record is from RNAcentral.